Molecule: ribosomal RNA, 436 nt
Filed under: uncultured bacterium
Lineage: Bacteria
Description: bacterial SSU rRNA
Rfam family: Bacterial small subunit ribosomal RNA
Source: RNAcentral
AACGCGAAGAACCUUACCCGGGCUUGACAUCCUGUGACAUCCUAAGAGAUUAGGUUUUCUAGCAAUAGAACACAGAGACAGGUGCUGCAUGGCUGUCGUCAGCUCGUGCCGUGAGGUGUUGGGUUAAGUCCCGCAACGAGCGCAACCCUUGUCGUGUGUUGGUCGAAAGAUCUCUCACGCGAGACCGCCGGUGACAAGCCGGAGGAAGGUGGGGAUGACGUCAAGUCAGCAUGGCCCUUACGUCCGGGGCUACACACGUGCUACAAUGGAAGGGACAGCGAGUCGCUAACCCGCGAGGGCAAGCUAAUCUCUUAAACCCUUCCUCAGUUCGGAUUGGAGGCUGCAACUCGCCUCCAUGAAGUCGGAAUCGCUAGUAACCGCAGAUCAGCUACGCUGCGGUGAAUACGUUCCCGGGCCUUGUACACACCGAGACGAC